This 90-nucleotide transfer RNA is filed under the name Coriobacteriia bacterium. RNAcentral describes it as "tRNA-Ser". It matches the Rfam family "tRNA". From Rfam's summary of the family: Transfer RNA (tRNA) molecules are approximately 80 nucleotides in length. The record is from RNAcentral. Lineage: Bacteria; Bacillati; Actinomycetota; Coriobacteriia.
GGAUGGAUGGCAGAGCCUGGCUUAAUGCAGCUGUCCCGAAAACAGCCGAACCGAGAGGUUCCGCGGGUUCGAAUCCCACUCCAUCCUCCA